Molecule: long non-coding RNA, 3106 nt
Filed under: Homo sapiens (human)
Lineage: Eukaryota; Metazoa; Chordata; Mammalia; Primates; Hominidae
Description: HSALNT0267406
Source: RNAcentral
UGUGAAUGGCAGCGAUGCAUCCUUUGUGAGCUGAGGCUUUUAAGAAGCUGGUGAGGCUUCCUAUGCUUUCUUUCUGCUUCUGCUGGCUAGAAACAAAGGACACUGAGGCCCUCGGGGGAUGGUAGAGCCACAGGAAGCACCCCGGGUCCUUAAAUCAACAUGCGGAGGAAAGCCAACGGCCAGCCAUGGAUACUUGCAUUGGACUUUUAAGUGAAUGAGAGCCCCAGCUCAGCCACUAGUUGGCUGUGUGAUCUCAGACAAGCCAAGCUCCAUCUCUGAGAUAUAGCUGCUUCAUUUGCAAAGUAAGAAGGUAGACGUGCAUGAUCAGCUGAAGAUGCUUCCUGCCUCAAUCCAGGACACCUGCGGCUCCAGGUCAGAGAUGCACCUGCUAGUCCUGCCUCUACAGGACCCAACCCAUCAGUUCCUAGCUUGUCCUUCUGGUGAGAAUUGAGCACACUAUACUGUGGACAUAAAGACAAGUCAAGGGAACUAGUCAGCCCUGGCUGUUGGAGAACAGUCCUUGGGAUACUCACCAGGGUCUCCACCAUGUUGGAUUUGUUGUUACGCAGUGUUUUCACGAUGUGGAACACGUCAAUGAUGUUUUGCUGCUGGAUCAUCUCACACACACUGCAGAUGGCACAGAAGGUUCCACUACGGCCUCCCCCAUUUCUAAACACAGAGCAAAGAGGAUAAUACUCAAAGGACUGCCCGUGUGGAAAUUCUGGAUCAGCCAGCUUGGGGUAGCUGUGAAGAUGAGUAGCAUCCUAGAUAUGGGAUACUGCAUGUCAAAAUACAGAGAUCUGUGGGUUGCUCCGAUGAGCUGAAUGACCCAGAAGAUAAAAGAGGAAGGUUGAGAUCACUGUAGAAGCAGUGAGAAACCAGCAAGAAACUGAGCUCGGCUCCCUGGCUCACAUAGACAUGGAACAGAGAUCACAUCUGUGAGUGGAGGAGCCAGACUUUUCAUAUAAGCACAUGUAAAACUUUUGAAGUUGGCUGAUCCAAGAAUAGAUUCAAAUUCUUCAGCCAAGAGUCUAGACCAACUGACUUUUUCCACUUCAUUGCCUAGUUGACCCUUUGGGCCCGGAGCUCACGCACGCAGUUGAAGAUGUCCACCACCCCUUCAUUCUCGGCCAUGUCAAGCAUGGUGUCAAUGGCAAUGAAGCAGCCAGUCCGCCCAGCCCCAGCACUGGAAGAGAGCAAAUGGGUUGACGGAUGGAAGCAAAGAAGGAGAGGAGAGAGAACAGAGGGGAGAUGAAUGACAGGACAGAAACGAGAGUCCUCUGAGCUGUCCCCAAGACAGAGAGUGGUUGGUGGAGCACCACGUUCAAAGGCCGGCAUCUGGCUCCACCUGCAGCUGUUUUCGCAGGAUCGUGAAGCAAGAGUGUCAUGAAACUGGAGCAGCUGACCGUCCGGAGACCCUUGUCAGGGAUCAAGUUUCUUGAUACAUACUUACUUGAUUUCUGGUCACUAGUGGCUUCUUUAGGAGAAUCUCAGACCAAGUAUAAAAUGGUAGGGGAACUCAACGAGACUCUAUGGGCCUUGGCCAGCCCUUUCUAGAUCAGUGCUGGGCUCUGAAACAUCAGUGCUGACCAAGAGGCACGUAAGACAUGUGCCUUACACAUGUGCAGUUUUGGAUGGGAAGGCCGGGCAGCCUGUCAAGGAGGCCCCCUUCCGCUGCGUUUUCACAUCUUGCCUUUCUCAUGGAAACAAGUGUCUUUGUCUAACAAUGUAGAUGUCAAAAGACACACAAAGAGGAAGAGAGAUGGAACAAGACAAAAAAGCAAUAUUGGCUCAUGGUAAAUCCAAGGGGCACAGGCCAGUGCGGACCACUACCUACAACAAUUUGGAAAGUACACCCAUUGGAAGCAGAGUCUUCAUUCAUGAGAAACUUUCAUGGUUUGAAUGAAGUCUGACUUAAGUUUGCUUCAGAACCUACUCCCCAAAAUCCAGAUGCGGGGACUCAAGAGACUUGGCCUCUGUGUCUGGGAGGGAGUAUAGGGGGGGUCACUCGUGUUUUUUUCUUCAAUGUUCAUAUUCACCAUGCUUUAGUAUAAAGAAUCAGCCCAAUUUGGUUCCAAAUUUUGGAACAACUAUCAAUCAAUCAGCGGUGACCAAGUUGCCUAGUGUCCGUUUGUUUGUUAGCUUCAGAUUUCUGAUGCUUUUAACAUACCUCCCUGCAGGGUCCUUGUGAGGACAAAGCUGUGUUUAUUUCAUUUCAGCAUCACAUAGUAAUUGAACACAGGAUAUUUGAAAAGACCCCCUAGGAUUAAAUCCUGGCUCUAUUACUUAUUAGCUGCAUGACCUCGGGCAAAUGACUUAACCUCUCUGGGUUUCAAUACUCAUCUAUAAAAUGAUGUUGAUAAUAAUUAAAAUACUCACUCAUCUAUAAAAUGAUGUUGAUAAUAAUUAAUAGAUCCACCUCACAGCAUUAAUAGCACAAUAUGUAUAAAUUGGAUGAAAUUACAAUUAAAAUGCAUAAUGCAUACAAAUUGCUUUGUGCCUGGAUACAUAGCCAUUUUUUAUUGAGAAAUUAUUACUAUUAUAUUCAACAAAUAUUUAUUGAAAAUCUAAGAUGCAGUAGAUGCUGGUAUUAGGAGUGGGAAUAUGAAAACAAACAAACAUUGUUCCUGUCCUGAAGGAUUAAUAAAUAAUCUGGGGAGGGGGAGAAAGAAAACAUUAAGAGGAGGCAGAGAAUAAUGAUAUAUUAGAGUGCUUACUAUAUGUCAGGCAUUCUCUCUUAGGCACUUAGCCAACCCAUUUGGUAAUAAUUUUCAGAAUGGCCCCAGGAGUGGGUACCACUCUGCUCAGAUGCAUUAAGAUGACCUGCUAAGGAGACACAUACCGGCGUAGAGCCAUCAUGCGCCGAAGUCCUGAUGAUAAACAAACAUUUGCCAUUGUCUUUCUUUCUUUCUCCCUAACCCUUGAUCUGGGUGCUCUUUGGGAUAUAGAGAUGGGGGGCAUUAAUGAUCCAUUGCCCUUUGAUUGCUAUGAGAUAUAAAGCAAAGCAGAAAAUACAUGCAAAACAUUUAGAGAGUCCAGGAUUACCUCCUCAUCCUCACUUGCCUUAUCUGUGAAAUGGGGUUGUGUAGCUACUAUUGCUGGGAAG